RNAcentral lists this ribosomal RNA (468 nucleotides) under uncultured bacterium. RNAcentral describes it as "partial 16S ribosomal RNA". It matches the Rfam family "Bacterial small subunit ribosomal RNA", at positions 28 to 507 of the family's 1533-position model. The record is from RNAcentral.
GACGAACGCUGGCGGCGUGCUUAACACAUGCAAGUCGAACGGAAAGGCCCUGCUUUUGUGGGGUGCUCGAGUGGCGAACGGGUGAGUAACACGUGAGUAACCUGCCCUUGACUUUGGGAUAACUUCAGGAAACUGGGGCUAAUACCGGAUAGGAGCUCCUGCUGCAUGGUGGGGGUUGGAAAGUUUCGGCGGUUGGGGAUGGGCUCGCGGCUUAUCAGCUUGUUGGUGGGGUAGUGGCUUACCAAGGCUUUGACGGGUAGCCGGCCGGAGAGGGUGACCGGCCACAUUGGGACUGAGAGAGGGCCCAGAGGCCUACGGGAGGCAGCAGUGGGGAAGAUUGCAGAAUGGGGGGAAGCCUGAUGCAGCAACGCGGGGUGGGGGAUGACGGCCUUCGGGGUGUAAACCGCUUUCGCCUGUGACGAAGCGUGAGUGACGGUAAUGGGUAAAGAAGCACCGGCUAACUACGUG